RNAcentral lists this transfer RNA (85 nucleotides) under Felis catus (domestic cat). It matches the Rfam family "tRNA". Rfam says of the family: Transfer RNA (tRNA) molecules are approximately 80 nucleotides in length. Their secondary structure includes four short double-helical elements and three loops (D, anti-codon, and T loops). The record is from Rfam by way of RNAcentral. Lineage: Eukaryota; Metazoa; Chordata; Mammalia; Carnivora; Felidae.
GCCUGGGUGCCUCAGUUGGUUGAGUAUCUGACUUUGGCUCAGGUCACGAUCUCACAGUUCAUGGGUUCGAGCCCCAUGUCAGGCU